Molecule: ribosomal RNA, 496 nt
Filed under: uncultured bacterium
Lineage: Bacteria
Description: partial 16S ribosomal RNA
Rfam family: Bacterial small subunit ribosomal RNA
Source: RNAcentral
GAUGAACGCUGGCGGCGUGCCUAAUACAUGCAAGUCGAGCGAACAGACGAGGAGCUUGCUCCUCUGCCGUUAGCGGCUGACGGGUGAGUAACACGUGGAUAACCUACCUCUAAUACUGGGAUAACUUCGUGAAACCGGAGCUACUACCGGCUAAUAUAUUGAACCGCAUGGUUCAAUAGUGAAAGACGCUUUUGCUGUCACUUAUAGAUGGAUCCGCGCCGCAUUGUCUGGUUGGUAAGGUAACGGCUUACCAAGGCACCGAUGCGUGUCCGACCUGAUAGAGGAAUCGGCAAAACUGAAACGGGAACACGUUCCGAACCCCAAGGGAGGGAGGAGGUGGGAAAACUUCCGCAAGGGGCGAAGGCCGGACGAAGCAACGCGGGGUGGGGAAGAAGGGUCUUCGGUUCGUAAAACUCUGUUUUAGGGAAGAAAAGAUGUGUAAGUAACUAUGCACGUCUUGACGGUACCUAAUCAGAAAGCCACGGCUAACUACGUG